Molecule: ribosomal RNA, 2546 nt
Filed under: Drosophila erecta
Lineage: Eukaryota; Metazoa; Arthropoda; Insecta; Diptera; Drosophilidae
Description: eukaryotic LSU rRNA
Rfam family: Eukaryotic large subunit ribosomal RNA (bases 536-2546)
Source: RNAcentral
ACUCUAAGCGGUGGAUCACUCGGCUCAUGGGUCGAUGAAGAACGCAGCAAACUGUACGUCAUCGUGUGAACUGCAGGACACAUGAGCAUCGACAUUUUGAACGGAUAUCGCAGUCCAUGCUGUUAUCUACUUUUCUAAUUAAUUUUAUAGUGCUGCUUGGAGUACAUAUGGUUGAGGGUAGUAAGACUAUGCUUAAGUUGUUUAUAAAUUUUAUAAGCAUAUGGUAUAUUAUUGGACAAAAUAAUAAUUUUUUUAUUCAAUAUAUUAAAAACAUUAUCUCACAUUUGGAUGUGAAAAACGAAGAGAAAUAUUUUCUUUUUCGAUCAAGUAAUACUGAAAAAUGACUAGCAUAAAAAAUUUAAUUAUUUUUCAUCUAGAAUUGUCUCUUAUUAAUGAUUCGGAAAUAGAAAAAACUUGGUUAUGUUAUUAUUCUUCGUUGGUUCGUUUAAUGGAAAACACUUUCUUACAAGAAAUAAUUUAAUAAAAUGUUUUUAUCAUUAUAUAUAAAGAAUUAAUGGCAAGAAAAAGUUAUAUACAACCUCAACUCAUAUGGGACUACCCCCUGAAUUUAAGAAUAUUAAUUAGGGGAAGAAAAGAAACUAACAAGGAUUUUCUUAGUAGCGGCGAGCGAAAAGAAAACAGUUCAGCACUAAGUCACUUUGUCUAUAUGGCAAAAGUGAGAUGCAGUGUAUGGAGCGUCAAUAUUCUAGUAUGAGAAAUUAACGAUUUAGGUCCUUCUUAAAUGAGGCCAUUUACCCAUAGAUGGUGCCAGGCCCGUAUAACGUUAAUGAUUACUAGAUGAUGUUUCCAAAGAGUCGUGUUGCUUGAUAGUGCAGCACUAAGUGGGUGGUAAACUCAAUCUAAAACGAAAUAUAACCAUGAGACCGAUAGUAAACAAGUACCGUGAGGGAAAGUUGAAAAGAACUCUGAAUAGAGAGUUAAACAGUACGUGAAACUGCUUAGAGGUUAAGCCCGAUGAACCUGAAUAUCCGUUAUGGAAAAUUCAUCAUUAAAAUUGUAUUAUUUAAAUAAUAUUAUGAGGAUAGUGUGCAUUUUUUCCAUAUAAGGACAUUAAAACCUAUUAGCAUAUACAAAAUUUAUCAUAAAAUAUAACUUAUAGUUUAUUCCAAUUAAAUUGCUUGCAUUUUAACACAGAAUAAAUGUUAUUAAUUUGAUAAAGUGCUGAUAGAUUAAUAUGAUUACAGUGCGUUAAUUUUUCGGAAUUAUAUAAUGGCAUAAUUAUCAUUUAUUUUUGUGUUUAUUAUAUGCACUUGUAUGAUUAACAAUGCGAAAGAUUCAGGAUACCUUCGGGACCCGUCUUGAAACACGGACCAAGGAGUCUAACAUAUGUGCAAGUUAUUGGGAUAUAAACCUAAUAGCAUAAAGUUGACUAAUAAUGGGAUUAGUUUUUUAACUAUUUAUAGCUAAUUAACACAAUUCCGGGGCGUUCUAUAUAGUUAUGUAUAAUGUAUAUUUAUAUUAUUUAUGCCUCUAACUGGUAUUUACCUUGAGCAUAUAUGCUGUGACCCGAAAGAUGGUGAACUAUACUUGAUCAGGUUGAAGUCAGGGGAAACCCUGAUGGAAGACCGAAACAGUUCUGACGUGCAAAUCGAUUGUCAGAAUUGAGUAUAGGAGUGAAAGAACAAUCGAACCAUCUAGUAGCUAGUUCCUUCCGAAGUAUCCCUCAGGAUAGCUGGGUCAUUUUAAUAUUAUAUAAAAUAAUCUUAUCUUGUAAAGCGAAUGAUUAGAGGCAGAUAUCAUGAAAGGCGUUGCUUGCUUAAAACAGCAGGACGGUGAUCAUGGCAGUCGAAAACCGCUAAGGAAUGAGUAACAACUCACCUGCCGUAGCAACUAGCCCUUAAAAUGGAUGGCGCUUAAUUUGUAUACCUAUACAUUACCGCUAAAGCAGAUGAUUUAUAUUACUUGUGAUAUACAUUUUGAAACUUUAGUGAAUACGAAGGUACAAUGAUAUGCGUAGAAGUGUUUGGCGUUAGCCUGCAUGGAGCUGCCAUUGGUACAGAUCUCGGUGGUAGUAGCAAAUAAUCGAUAGAAUAAUGUAGGUAUGGGAAGUCGGCAAUUUAGAUCCGUAACUUGGGGAUAAGGAUUGGCUCUGAAGAUUUAUAUAGUCGAGCUUGAUUGGGAAACAAUAACAUGGUUUAUGUUCUCGUUCUGGGUAAAUAGAGUUUCUAGAAUUUAUGUUAGUUACUUGUUCCCCGGAUAGUUUAGUUACGUAGCCAAUUGUGGAACUGUCUUGCUAAAAUUUUUAAGAAUACUUUUUGGGGGAAACCAAUUAGUUCUUAUUAAUUAUAACGGUUAUCAAUUAACAAUCAAUUCAGAACUGGCACGGACUUGGGGAAUCCGACUGUCUAAUUAAAACAAAGCAUUGUGAUGGCCCUAGCGGGUGUUGACACAAUGUGAUUUCUGCCCAGUGCUCUGAAUGUCAAAGUGAACUAAUUCAACGGCGGGAGUAACUAUGACUCUCUUAAGGUAGCCAAAUGCCCGGCAAGCAAGCACUCGAAUUGCUACCGGGGUGGUUGCUAUGUACC